Molecule: long non-coding RNA, 932 nt
Filed under: Delphinapterus leucas (beluga whale)
Lineage: Eukaryota; Metazoa; Chordata; Mammalia; Artiodactyla; Monodontidae
Description: lncRNA (ENSDLEG00000021767.1)
Source: RNAcentral
GGCCCUGCUCCCUGUGAAACCUGUAGGAGAAGGAUCUUUCCCUGCCUCUUCCAGCCUCUUGUGGCCCCUAUGUUCCUUGAUUUGUGGCAGCAUAAUUCACUUGGCGUUCUUCCUGUGUGUCUUCACAUCAUAUUCCCCCUGUAUGUUUCUGUGUCCAAACUUCCCCCUUUUAAUAAGAAUAUUAGCUUUAUUGAAGGGCCCACCCUACUCCAGUAUGAUUUCAUCUUAACUAAUUACACCUGCAACGACCCUAUUUCCGAAUAAGUUCACAUUGUGAAGUUCUGGGGGUUAAGACUUCAACACAUGAAUGUUGGGGGUACAAAAUUCACCCAUAACAGUAUCUGUUUAUGAGGGUAGGGGAUUAGACUACAGAAGUUUUCAUGCGUAGCGUUUGCGGCAGGACCAUUUCAGGGACUCGUAGACUGACAUUAACAAGGACAUCUACCUGAGGGUAGUUUCCAUCAUGGCUGAUGAUCAGGACCAUCUGGUACUUGUUAAAACCAGAAAUUCCCAAGCUGCCUCCCAGACAUCCUGAAUCAGAAAGAGAUUCAGAAAGUUGUGUGUUAACAAGCACCUCUGUGAUUCUGAUGUAACCAGCCCUUUGAUGCCCUCAAAUUUGGGAAGCACAGUUCUAGCCAACCCACAUGGAUGUUCAACAUUCUGGCCCUUGUGACAGCCAAGUGCCUCUGAAGUGGUAUCCAGACUCCCUCAACUCUCCAGCCACCAAGAUGCCCGUGCCUAAGGCAACCGGACCAAGAGAUGGAACCAUUUCAUCACACCAGGGGGAAAGAAAUGGGUCAACAAUCUCUACCCUGUCUAUCUGGCUGGAAAGUGCAUCGGGAAACCUCUACAAAGAUAAAUGUGAGCCUUUGAACAUGCCUGCUACCACCAGACCCCGUCGUGGGUUCUGUUCACCUCUGCCCUGUGGCUAG